Molecule: ribosomal RNA, 429 nt
Filed under: Chloroflexota bacterium
Lineage: Bacteria; Bacillati; Chloroflexota
Description: Chloroflexi bacterium partial 16S ribosomal RNA
Rfam family: Bacterial small subunit ribosomal RNA
Source: RNAcentral
UGGGGAAUAUUGCACAAUGGGCGCAAGCCUGAUGCAGCCAUGCCGCGUGUAUGAAGAAGGCCUUCGGGUUGUAAAGUACUUUCAGCGGGGAGGAAGGGAGUAAAGUUAAUACCUUUGCUCAUUGACGUUACCCGCAGAAGAAGCACCGGCUAACUCCGUGCCAGCAGCCGCGGUAAUACGGAGGGUGCAAGCGUUAAUCGGAAUUACUGGGCGUAAAGCGCACGCAGGCGGUUUGUUAAGUCAGAUGUGAAAUCCCCGGGCUCAACCUGGGAACUGCAUCUGAUACUGGCAAGCUUGAGGCUCGUAGAGGGGGGUAGAAUUCCAGGUGGAGCGGUGAAAUGCGUAGAGAUCUGGGGGAAUACCGGUGGCGAAGGCGGCCCCCUGGACGAAGACUGACGCUCAGGUGCGAAAGCGUGGGGAGCAAACAGG